CGAAAGUCCUCUCUCUUCUUCCUGCGAUGGCAACCCGAUGCCGUUUGCGCUUCUUCUCACCAUCUGAAAUGGUUUGAGCAAAAGGCUCCAGGUUUAAUCAAAUUGAUUCGCUCCCCCACUGCGUCAUCUUCAAAGCGUUGUUUGGAUCUAAGAGCCGGUGUGGUAUAAAUAUGUGUGAAUCAUCUGAGGUUAAGGCUUCACGGAGGGCAGAGGCGAAGUAUCUGGUCACGAGACUUGAAGAUACCUGGCUACGAUGAUCGAUACAGCAGCAAUGAUCUAUAUGGCGGUGCGCGUCUCUAUGUUGGCCACCUCUCCUCUCGAACAAGGGAACAUGAUCUUGAACACCUCUUCAGCAAAUAUGGAAGGUACAUGCAUCUGCGUAUUUACAAACUGAUACAACAUUGUUUCUUAUUUCUGUGAACGGAAACAUGGAAUAAGUAUACUUGUGGAAGGUCAACAAAUUGAGAGGUCAAUGGGGGUGUAAGUAGCAGCGAAGAAUCUUCUUAUCCAGAGAAGAAGCUUUAUUUAUUUAUGAAUAAGAAGGGAGAAAAAAAACAUAAGAGUUAAGUCUUUGAGCUGAGGUUCAAUUUACAGGUUUAUGGUUUUCUUAA
This is a long non-coding RNA of Brassica oleracea var. oleracea, 611 nucleotides long. RefSeq lists it as uncharacterized. The transcript is spliced from 3 exons. NCBI's taxonomy places the organism in Eukaryota, Viridiplantae, Streptophyta, Magnoliopsida, Brassicales, Brassicaceae. The record is from RefSeq and is a predicted model, not a curated record.